CCGCCGGCUUCUCUUCCGCUACUCCGCCACUACAUCGUCGCGAAUCUCCGUUGUCCAAAACGCGAAUGAGAAGAAGAAGAAGAUUCGCCCUACAAAAAGUUUAAAAAUAAAUAGAUGUAACAUUUAUUGUUCUACUUUUUUUUAUGACUAUUUUGUUACUCAUAAAUACUAAAAUGGUUACCUUUGUAUGAAUGGUUGGCUACCAACUACAUCACAUUCAAACGAAAUUGGUAACUUAGUAAAACUGAA
RNAcentral lists this long non-coding RNA (249 nucleotides) under Panax ginseng (ginseng). RNAcentral describes it as "long non-coding RNA (PGIN_LNC006643)". The record is from RNAcentral. Lineage: Eukaryota; Viridiplantae; Streptophyta; Magnoliopsida; Apiales; Araliaceae.